RNAcentral lists this ribosomal RNA (2787 nucleotides) under Triticum aestivum (bread wheat). RNAcentral describes it as "partial small subunit ribosomal RNA". Lineage: Eukaryota; Viridiplantae; Streptophyta; Magnoliopsida; Poales; Poaceae. The record is from RNAcentral.
AUGGGGCUGGAUUUGGUCGGGUUCAGCUCUCGGGUGCUGCCAACCAGCGUCGGGUACGCCGCGGACCGGCGCCACUCCCGUGGCGGAGCCGCCGCAUCCCACGGCUUCCUUGCCUGGAGGAGCCAUCCGAGGGCAGCUCUGAAGGACGGCGUGGUUUGCUCUACGGAGGACGGCGGCCGCGCGGAGUCCACGCUGUGCGUGUCCGCUCCGUCUGAAGAUGCCAGCCGCACCGGCGGAGUGGCAGCGGAUCUUGGCCGGGACAUCGCGGACGGCAUCACCGCCAGCCAGGCGAGCUCCGCGGGGAGGAAGAAAGGGGGGAGGUUAUGGAGGAGACCGCCGGGCGGAGACAAGCCGGCGAGGGCUCCCAGGCGCGCCCCCGUGAGAAAGGAUCCACAGGUUCGCAGAGUUCUGGUGAACAAUCCCGAUGUGAAUGCGAUUCUGUCCGGCGUCAGCCGGGAGUCCAGCAUCGAGGAGUGCAACUCCGUCCUGAUCCGUCUGGAGAAGCACAGCGAUGUGAAGGCCCUCGACUUCUUCGUGUGGAUGAAGGCCAACGGGAAGCUCGAGAGGAACGCCGACGCCUACCGGCUGGCUCUCCAGGCCAUUGCCUGGAAGGAGGACUGGAGGAGGGCCGAGCUGUUGCUCCACGAGAUGGUCGCUGUUUCGGGUUGCCGGCUCGAUGCCCGGGCGUUCAACGGGCUGAUGUAUGUCUGUGCCAAGAGGAGGCUUGCUGAUUGGGGAACAAAGUGGUUUCAUGUGAUGCUGGAGAGGGAGGUGCAGCCGAAUGUGUCCACAUUUGGUAUGCUCAUGGGCCUUUACCAGAAGACUGGGAGCCUCAAGGAGUCCGAAUUCGCUUUCGCGAAAAUGAGGGAAUGCAAUGUCAAGUGUGUCAAUGCUUACUCAGCCAUGAUAACUCUGUACACGCGUUCACGCCUUUUCGAUAAGUCCGAGGAGGUUAUCACAUUGAUGAAAGAUGAUGGGGUUGUUCCAAACAUGGAGAACUGGUUAGUGCAGCUAAAUGCUUACAGUCAGCAGGGCAAAAUGGAAGAAGCAGAAUUGGUGUUGCAGUCCAUGGAAGAUGGAGGUGUUUCCCCAAAUGUUGUGGCAUGCAAUACUGUGAUUACAGGGUAUGGAAAGGUUUCUGAAAUGCAAAAGGCGAAGGAAGUGUUCCACAGACUUGAGAGUUCAGGUUUAGCUCCCGAUGAAACAACUUAUAGAUCAAUGAUAGAAGGUUUUGGUAGAGCAGAUAAACACCAAGAGGCAAUUUCGUAUUACAAGAAGCUCAAGAGUUCCGGUUUUCAACCAAACGCGUCCAACUUCUACACGAUGAUUAACUUAAUAGCAAGGCAUGAUGACAGUGAAAGCGCGGCUGAAAUUCUUAGGGACAUGAGGGCAGCAGGCUGCCAGUGUUCAUCUAUUGUUACUAUUCUUGUCCGGGCAUACGGAACAGUCGGGAGGAUGCAUAAGGUUCUACCAAUUCUGCAAUCAUGCUUCUACAAGAAGGUUUUGUAUGAUGCUACCUCAUGCUCUAUUUUAGUAACAACGUUUGUUCAAAAUUCUUUAUUAGAAGAAGCUCUUUGUGUUUUGCGUGAAAAGAAGUGGAAAGAUUCUGAUUUUGAAGACAAUCUGUAUCAUAUCUUGAUAUGUUCUUGCAAAGAGGCUGGCAGUUAUGAAGAUGCUGUAAGGAUAUACAGCCAGAUGCCAGAAUCCCGAACGCAUCCAAAUCUCCGCAUUUGCUGCACUAUGAUUGAUGUUUUCAGCAUCAUGGAGAGAUUUACUGAUGCUGAAACCUUGUACCUUGAGCUGAAGGCUUCAGCUUGUGUUCUUGACAUGAUUGCUUAUAGUGUAAUUGUGAGGAUGUAUAAUAAAGCUGGGAGACCAGAAGAUGCUUGCUCAGUUCUGGAAGAUAUGGAUAAACAAAAGGAAAUAGUUCCUGAUAAAUACCUUUUUCUUGACAUGCUUCGGACUUACCAGAAAUGCGGCCUGCUCGAGAAGUUGACUGAUACAUAUUAUCGGAUACUCAAGAGCGAGGUUGAAUGCGAUGAAGCCAUGUAUAACUGCAUUAUUAACUGCUGUGGCCCAGCGAUACCAGUCGACGAGCUCUCGAGAAUUUUCGACGAAAUGAUUCAACUAGGACACCUGGCCAGCACUGUCACCCUGAAUGUGUUGCUAGAUAUAUAUGGAAAAGCUGGGCUUUUCAACAGGGCUGAGAAGGUGUUUAGCAUGGCCCGGAAGCAAGGACUGGCAGAUACCAUAUCAUACAACACUAUCAUCGCGGCGUACGCGCAGAGCGGGAAUUACCGCAGCAUGAAUUACUUUGUCCAAAAGAUGCAGGACGCAGGGUUUCCGGUUUCUCUCGAGGCGUACAAUUGCAUGCUGAAUGCCUAUGGAAAGUCAGGCCAGCUGGAGGAGUUCUCUGCUGUUCUGCAGAAAAUGAGGAGAGCAAGAUGCGACUUCGACCACUACACUUACAAUAUUAUGAUGAACAUAUAUGGGAGAAAGGGUUGGAUCGAAGGCGUCGCCUACGUUCUUUCGGAACUAAAGAGCCGCGGCGUUGAGCCAGACCUGUACAGUUACAACACAUUGAUAAAGGCUUACGGGAUAGCGGGAAUGCCCGAAGAUGCUGUCAAGCUGAUGCAGGAGAUGAGGAUCAAAGGUAUCAACGCUGAUCGAGUGACGUAUACUAACCUCAUAGCAGCUCUACAGAGGAAUGAGAAUUUCCUAGAGGCGGUCAAGUGGUCCCUCUGGAUGAAGCAAACAGGAGUUGUAGGCGUCGGAGCUCGACCAUAA